ACUCCUACGGGAGGCAGCAGUGGGGAAUAUUGCACAAUGGGCGCAAGCCUGAUGCAGCCAUGCCGCGUGUAUGAAGAAGGCCUUCGGGUUGUAAAGUACUUUCAGCAGUGAGGAAGGUGGGUAUGUUAAUAGCAUACUCAUUUGACGUUAGCUGCAGAAGAAGCACCGGCUAACUCCGUGCCAGCAGCCGCGGUAAUACGGAGGGGUGCGAGCGUUAAUCGGAAUUACUGGGCGUAAAGCGCAUGCAGGUGGUUUGUUAAGUCAGAUGUGAAAGCCCGGGGCUCAACCUCGGAAUUGCAUUUGAAACUGGCAAACUAGAGUACUGUAGAGGGGGUAGAAUUUCAGGUGUAGCGGUGAAAUGCGUAGAGAUCUAG
RNAcentral lists this ribosomal RNA (374 nucleotides) under uncultured bacterium. RNAcentral's name for it is "bacterial SSU rRNA". It matches the Rfam family "Bacterial small subunit ribosomal RNA", at positions 335 to 701 of the family's 1533-position model. The record is from RNAcentral.